Molecule: ribosomal RNA, 908 nt
Filed under: uncultured bacterium
Lineage: Bacteria
Description: bacterial SSU rRNA
Rfam family: Bacterial small subunit ribosomal RNA
Source: RNAcentral
ACGCUGGCGGCAGGCUUAACACAUGCAAGUCGAACGGUAACAGGGAUUAGCUUGCUAAUCUGCUGACGAGUGGCGGACGGGUGAGUAAUGCUUGGGAAUCUGGCUUAUGGAGGGGGAUAACUACGGGAAACUGUAGCUAAUACCGCGUAAAAUCUUCGGAUUAAAGGGUGGGACUUUCGAGCCACCUGCCAUAAGAUGAGCCCAAGUGGGAUUAGGUAGUUGGUUAGGUAAAGGCUGACCAAGCCGACGAUCUCUAGCUGGUCUGAGAGGAUGACCAGCCACACUGGGACUGAGACACGGUCCAGACUCCUACGGGAGGCAGCAGUGGGGAAUAUUGCACAAUGGGGGGAACCCUGAUGCAGCCAUGCCGCGUGAAUGAAGAAGGCCUUCGGGUUGUAAAGUUCUUUCGGUGACGAGGAAGGUUGGUAGGUUAAUAGCCUAUCAAAUUGACGUUAAUCACAGAAGAAGCACCGGCUAACUCCGUGCCAGCAGCCGCGGUAAUACGGGGGGUGCGAGCGUUAAUCGGAAUAACUGGGCGCAAAGGGCACGCAGGCGGUGACUUAAGUGAGAUGUGAAAGCCCCGAGCUUAACUUGGGAAUUGCAUUUCAUACUGGGUCGCUAGAGUACUUUAGGGAGGGGUAGAAUUCCACGUGUAGCGGUGAAAUGCGUAGAGAUGUGGAGGAAUACCGAAGGCGAAGGCAGCCCCUUGGGAAUGUACUGUCGCUCAUGUGCGAAAGCGUGGGGAGCAAACAGGAUUAGAUACCCUGGUAGUCCACGCUGUAAACGAUGUCGAUUUGGGGAUUGGGCUUUGAGCUUGGUGCCCGUAGCUAACGUGAUAAAUCGACCGCCUGGGGAGUACGGCCGCAAGGUUAAAACUCAAAUGAAUUGACGGGGGCCCGCACAAGCGG